RNAcentral lists this transfer RNA (72 nucleotides) under Bos taurus (domestic cattle). It matches the Rfam family "tRNA". From Rfam's summary of the family: Transfer RNA (tRNA) molecules are approximately 80 nucleotides in length. Their secondary structure includes four short double-helical elements and three loops (D, anti-codon, and T loops). The record is from Rfam by way of RNAcentral. RNAcentral also lists the same sequence under 5 other names. Lineage: Eukaryota; Metazoa; Chordata; Mammalia; Artiodactyla; Bovidae.
UCUCUGGUAGCUCAGUUGGUAAAGAAUCUGCCUGUGAUGCAGGUGACCUGGGUUCGAUCUCUGGUUUGGGAA